AAGUCGUAACAAGGUUUCCGUAGGUGAACCUGCGGAAGGAUCAUUACAAAUACUUGGUUAACGCCAACAUUUCAUGUGCAACUUACUGACGCUGCCAGAAUUUCGCAAGACCUUCGGGUUGAUCGAUACCUGGCAGCAAACCCGAUCGCUUGAAUCAAUAAUGUACUUUGGUGAUUCAAUGCAUGAGUCAAGCGGUCAGCGGGCUUUCGUUGUUGUCCUUGGAUAACAAUUGAAGCUCGUUUAUAAACAUUAUAACAUCAGUCUUAUUUAUCCGUCGUCAGAUAGUAGCGAUUCAGCGAAAUUUGAUGACAUAAAAGGGUUAAAAACUUUUAGCAACGGAUCUCUAGGCUCUC
Molecule: unclassified non-coding RNA, 353 nt
Filed under: fungal sp.
Lineage: Eukaryota; Fungi
Description: partial internal transcribed spacer region
Rfam family: Eukaryotic small subunit ribosomal RNA (bases 1-46)
Source: RNAcentral